GCUUAACACAUGCAAGUCGAGCGGUAAGGCCCUUCGGGGUACACGAGCGGCGAACGGGUGAGUAACRCGUGGGUGAUCUGCCCUGUACUUCGGGAUAAGCCUGGGAAACUGGGUCUAAUACCGGAUAUGACCUUACAUCGCAUGGUGUUUGGUGGAAAGAUUUAUCGGUACAGGAUGGGCCCGCGGCCUAUCAGCUUGUUGGUGGGGUAAUGGCCUACCAAGGCGACGACGGGUAGCCGGCCUGAGAGGGCGACCGGCCACACUGGGACUGAGACACGGCCCAGACUCCUACGGGAGGCAGCAGUGGGGAAUAUUGCACAAUGGGCGAAAGCCUGAUGCAGCGACGCCGCGUGAGGGAUGACGGCCUUCGGGUUGUAAACCUCUUUCGACAGGGACGAAGCGCAAGUGACGGUACCUGUAGAAGAAGCACCGGCCAACUACGUGCCAGCAGCCGCGGUAAUACGUAGGGUGCGAGCGUUGUCCGGAAUUACUGGGCGUAAAGAGCUUGUAGGCGGUUUGUCGCGUCGUCCGUGAAAACUUGGGGCUCAACCCCAAGCUUGCGGGCGAUACGGGCAGACUUGAGUACUGCAGGGGAGACUGGAAUUC
RNAcentral lists this ribosomal RNA (606 nucleotides) under Nocardia farcinica. RNAcentral's name for it is "bacterial SSU rRNA". It matches the Rfam family "Bacterial small subunit ribosomal RNA", at positions 46 to 669 of the family's 1533-position model. The record is from RNAcentral. Lineage: Bacteria; Bacillati; Actinomycetota; Actinomycetes; Mycobacteriales; Nocardiaceae.